GACCAGAUAGCUCAGUCAGUUAGAGUAUGGUGCUGAUAACACCAAGGUUGCGGGUUCGAUGCCCGUUCAGUCCC
RNAcentral lists this transfer RNA (74 nucleotides) under Apaloderma vittatum (bar-tailed trogon). It matches the Rfam family "tRNA". Rfam says of the family: Transfer RNA (tRNA) molecules are approximately 80 nucleotides in length. Their secondary structure includes four short double-helical elements and three loops (D, anti-codon, and T loops). The record is from Rfam by way of RNAcentral. Lineage: Eukaryota; Metazoa; Chordata; Aves; Trogoniformes; Trogonidae.